This 502-nucleotide ribosomal RNA is filed under the name uncultured Glomeromycotina. RNAcentral's name for it is "partial small subunit ribosomal RNA". It matches the Rfam family "Eukaryotic small subunit ribosomal RNA", at positions 591 to 1092 of the family's 1831-position model. The record is from RNAcentral. Lineage: Eukaryota; Fungi; Glomeromycota.
CCAAUAGCGUAUAUUAAGGUUGUUGCAGUUAAAAAGCUCGUAGUUGAACUUCGGGGUCUACCCAUUGGUCAGGCUUAAUUGUCUGCACUGGUGAGAUGGAUCUCUACCUUCUGAGGAACUCUCAUGCCAUUUAUUUGGUGUGGUUGGAAAUCAGGACUGUUACUUUGAAAAAAUUAGAGUGUUUAAAGCAGACUAUCGUCUGAAUACAUUAGCAUGGAAUAAUGAAAUAGGACGGACUGAUUCUAUUUCGUUGGUUUCUAGGAUCACCGUAAUGAUUAAUAGGGAUAGUUGGGGGCAUUAGUAUUCAAUUGUCAGAGGUGAAAUUCUUGGAUUUAUUGAAGACUAACUACUGCGAAAGCAUUUGCCAAGGAUGUUUUCAUUAAUCAAGAACGAAAGUUAGGGGAUCGAUGACGAUCAGAUACCGUCGUAGUCUUAACCAUAAACUAUGCCGACUAGGGAUCGGAUGAUGUUAAUUUCUUAAUGACUCAUUCGGCGCCUUACG